This 2754-nucleotide long non-coding RNA is filed under the name Coffea arabica (coffee). RNAcentral's name for it is "long non-coding RNA (CARA_LNC003698)". Lineage: Eukaryota; Viridiplantae; Streptophyta; Magnoliopsida; Gentianales; Rubiaceae. The record is from RNAcentral.
UAUAAACCUUAUUCCUAAUUCUAGAAAAUGUUGGUCCAAGUGUAUCAGAUGUCAAAGCUUCAGAAAUUCUAACCUCAACUACUUUAAUGCAUAUGUCACCUGAUUAUUUAAGCAUAUGUCAGCUUCUCAUGUUUUUGGAUAGACCACAAGACAUUGCUGCUGUAUUUGAGAAACUCUUGAGAACAAAAAGUAAGAAUGAUGGUUUAUUGGGAUUUCAAAUAGCAUUUGACCUUGUAGAGAAUGAACACCAAGCUUAUCUUUUGAAAAUGAGGGACUAACUUUCCAGUCCCAAGAAAGAUAUUCAGAUAACAGAGGGUAAUCAAAAUUCUGAAAGAAACUAUUUAUGCUGCGAAGUUACCAGAAAUAAAAGGAAUGCUGUCUCGAGAGACUUCCAUACAGUUGACAUUGCAAUUCUUAUAUAGUUAUAAUAACUAAGGUAUUUUUCCUAUUUUCUUUUUUUCCCUUCUCCAGAUAGUUUCUCAGUUUACUAGAUUUCUUUGGAAUAUUUCACUAAUUGUUACCUUUUUGCAUAUCAGAUUGCAUUUUGUAAUUCUCAGCACAAUAAAACAAUCUGUUGAGAUGAGAAAUAAUAUUUGUCAUAAUGCAACUAUACACACUAAUAGCAUUAUGGAUGCCGUCACAACUGUCAACACAUUACUCUGCACCUACUUUCCUCAUUGUUUUAUAUGCUGCAUAACGAUAAAACUUAUUAUUUCUAUCUAACAUUUUGUAUUUGUUUAAACUAUCAGAACUAGGUCACCAGGACUACAAAUUGGACUAAGUUUAGCGCAACAGCAGUACAGGUUAUUAACAGAGACCAUCUACAGCAAGGAAAAUCACUUAUAGGUCCUUGUCACACAGUGGAGCUGGUGGUGGUGGCAGCUCAUAUUCAGAAAUAUAAGCAUUGUCUGCUAUGAGGAAGGCAUGAAUUAGUUCCUCUAUCAUAGUCUAACAAACACUAACGCUGAAGUAUUUGUCUUAUUGCAUUAUGUAAAAAAGUACCUAUUUUUAUCUUUCGACUUUUCUGUCUUUUUUUAAAAAUUGUCUCCUACACGUUAUUCAGCAUAGUACCUACCUUAGCAGUAUUGGAAACUCCUAAUGAAGAUAUUUUUCAUGAUAUAAAAAAUGUCAUGUAAAAACUUAUUAAAUUAAAAGCUAUAAUAUAUUUCUAUAAAAGCUGAAUGAAUUCCAUAAUCUAUUGCUAGAAUUAAAAACUUAAUGAAUUCUUUCUCUUUUUGACAGUUUACGGAACAGAAGAAGCACAUUAUCGAUAAAUGUAUGCAUUAGCAUUUGCUUACAAUGAAACUGCAAACAACAAGACGAUUUGAUACCUGCUGCAAUGGUGUUAGGUAAACUGCAAUUUUGGCACUUGGUUAGUUUGUCUUAUGUUUAGGCUUAGCACUGGUUUAUGGUUUAUGUUCUGGACUAUAAGAACUUGACAGCAAAGCUUCGCUUGUCCAAACAACUUUUCAUAUGAUGUCUUUGCUCUUAACUUUUUCUACCCUUAUUAGUCAUUCUUGUAGAUAUAUGUUCAGAAAAUUCAUUAUAUAUUUACAUUGCUCAUUCUUAUAAUUGUAUGUUCAGAAAAUUAAUUACUAACUGUUUAUCGUUUUGCAACAAGAGUGUAUAUGAACAUGAGAACUUUGAUGAGACUCACAGCCAACUAGCUAUAUUACUAGCCUCAAAGAUUCAAAGAUGCCUUUUUGUUGCAAGUUUUUCUUUUAAAGCCUACUUCUACAGACAACUCAUCUCCUUGAUUAAUAUUUUAGCAUUCAUUUUACCAGGUUAUGUAAAAUCCAUUUGAAGAAUAGGAAGGAUAAAUUUUUUUUUGCUUUCGUAUGUGUUCAUUAUUCAUAACAAACCUUUAAGAAAAUAAAUCAUGGCUAGAUAAAUACUGAUUUUGAAGUAUAAAGUGGCACUGGUAUUACAUAAGUUAACUAUGCAUUUCUUUUUAACCAUGCCAUACACGUCUUACUUUAUUUUCUACUAUAUCCUUUUAUCUCAGCUAAAGCUAUAGACAAACGUCCUGAUCUCAAGACUAAGGCUGCUAAGACAAAUAAAGCACCAAAGAUAGAUCCAAGAUCAAAGGCCAUUGUUCAAAGCAUGCUUGAUAAGUAUGUAAACUUCUGAAACACUAGAUUAUACUAUAUAUUUAAACUUUCUCUCAUUAUCUCAUUUUUGAAACUCCCUCUAGGUAUAUAAUUAACAAAAGAUAUCAAUAACCUGUGAGAAUAGAUAUAAAAUACCAGAGAUUGGAUAAGCUUCAGCAAAUACUUAUACAAACUGACAACAUUCAAGUAACUCUAUACUAUUGUAAUCAUGUCUGUCACAAUCUUGUCAACUCUAGAAAAUAUCAGCGUGAUAUGAUUAUAUCUAUUUAAUUCAUUCUUCUAAACCUUAUUCCUAAUUCUAAAAAAUGUUGGUCCAAGUGUAUCAGAUGUGAAAACUUCAGAAAUUCUAACCUCAACUACUUUAAUGCAUAUGUCACCUGAUUAUUUAGGCAUAUGUCAGCUUCUCAUGUUUUUGGAUAGACCACAAGACAUUGCUGCUGCAUUUGAGAAACUCUUAAGAGCAAAAAGUAAGAAUGAUGGUUUAUUGGGAUUUCAAAUAGCAUUUGACCUUGUAGAGAAUGAACACCAAGCUUAUCUUUUGAAAAUGAGGGACUAACUUUCCAGUCCCAAGAAAGAUAUUCAGAUAACAGAGGGUAAUCAAAAUUCUGAAGGAAACUAUUUAUGCUACAAAGUUAUCAAAAAU